RNAcentral lists this ribosomal RNA (445 nucleotides) under uncultured bacterium. Its description in RNAcentral is "partial 16S ribosomal RNA". It matches the Rfam family "Bacterial small subunit ribosomal RNA", at positions 330 to 793 of the family's 1533-position model. The record is from RNAcentral.
UCCAGACUCCUACGGGAGGCAGCAGUGGGGAUAUUGCACAAUGGGGGAAACCCUGAUGCAGCGACGCCGCGUGAGUGAAGAAGUAAUUCGUUACGUAAAGCUCUAUCAGCAGGGAAGAAAAUGACAGUACCUGACUAAGAAGCCCCGGCUAACUACGUGCCAGCAGCCGCGGUAAUACGUAGGGGGCAAGCGUUAUCCGGAUUUACUGGGUGUAAAGGGAGCGUAGACGGCUGCGCAAGUCAGAAGUGAAAGCCCGGGGCUCAACCGUGGGACUGCUUUUGAAACUGUAUAGCUAGAGUGCAGGAGAGGUAAGUGGAAUUCCUAGUGUAGCGGUGAAAUGCGUAGAUAUUAGGAGGAACACCGGUGGCGAAGGCGGCUUACUGGACUGUAACUGACGUUGAGGCUCGAAAGCGUGGGGAGCAAACAGGAUUAGAUACCCCAGUAA